UACGUAGGGCGCAAGCGUUAAUCGGAAUUACUGGGCGUAAAGCGUGCGCAGGCGGUUUUGUAAGUCUGUCGUGAAAGCCCCGGGCUCAACCUGGGAAUUGCGAUGGAGACUGCAAGGCUUGAAUCUGGCAGAGGGGGGUAGAAUUCCACGUGUAGCAGUGAAAUGCGUUGAGAUGUGGAGGAACACCGAUGGCGAAGGCAGCCCCCUGGGUCAAGAUUGACGCUCAUGCACGAAAGCGUGGGGAGCAAACAGG
RNAcentral lists this ribosomal RNA (253 nucleotides) under uncultured bacterium. RNAcentral describes it as "partial 16S ribosomal RNA". It matches the Rfam family "Bacterial small subunit ribosomal RNA", at positions 524 to 776 of the family's 1533-position model. The record is from RNAcentral.